Molecule: ribosomal RNA, 465 nt
Filed under: uncultured bacterium
Lineage: Bacteria
Description: partial 16S ribosomal RNA
Rfam family: Bacterial small subunit ribosomal RNA
Source: RNAcentral
GACGAACGCUGGCGGCGUGCUUAACACAUGCAAGUCGUACGGUAAGGCCCUUUCGGGGGUACACGAGUGGCGAACGGGUGCGUAACACGUGCGUAACCUGCCCACAACUUUGGGAUAACGCUAGGAAACUGGUGCUAAUACUGGUUAUGUGCUCCUGCUGCAUGGUGGGGGUUGGAAAGUUCCGGCGGUUGUGGAUGGACUCGCGGCCUAUCAGCUUGUUGGUGGGGUUGUGGCCUACCAAGGCGGCGUCGGGUAGCCGGCCUGCGGAGGUGACCGGCCACAUUGGGACUGAGAGACGGCCCAGACUCCUACGGGAGGCAGCAGUGGGGAAUAUUGCACAAUGGGCGCAAGCCUGAUGCAGCAACGCCGCGUGCGGGAUGACGGCCUUCGGGUGGUAAACCGCUUUCAGCAGGGACGAAGCUUUUUGUGACGGUACCUGCAGAAGAAGCACCGGCUAACUACGUG